This 301-nucleotide ribosomal RNA is filed under the name Chloroparvula japonica. Its description in RNAcentral is "partial Eukaryotic large subunit ribosomal RNA". It matches the Rfam family "Eukaryotic large subunit ribosomal RNA", at positions 74 to 371 of the family's 3401-position model. The record is from RNAcentral. Lineage: Eukaryota; Viridiplantae; Chlorophyta; Chloropicophyceae; Chloropicales; Chloropicaceae.
AUUCCCCUAGUAACGGCGAGUGAAACGGGAAGAGCGCAAAUUUGAAAGCUGCCACCAGGCCGCGUUGUAAUUUUGGGGAGCGACAUCACAGGGACCUGCCAGAACUAAAGUCGCCUGGAACGGCGCGCCAGAGAGGGUGAGAGCCCCGUGUAUGGUUGUGGUACGGGACCGGCAUGCGUUGUCGUUUCUGAGAGUCGGGUUGUUUGGGAUUGCAGCCUAAAGUGCGUGGUAAAUCUCACGUAACGCUAAAUAUGGGCGAGAGACCGAUAGCGAACAAGAAGUGUGAACGAAAGAAGAAAAG